RNAcentral lists this ribosomal RNA (4839 nucleotides) under bacterium. RNAcentral's name for it is "23S ribosomal RNA". The stretch from base 1 to 2723 matches the Rfam family "Bacterial large subunit ribosomal RNA". The record is from RNAcentral.
AUUGUGGUUACAAAGGGUUGAUGGUGGAUGCCUUGGAAGGUCAAGGCGACGAAGGACGUGGCGUGACUGCGAUAAGCCCCGGGAAGGUGUCUAGCAACCUGUGAUCCGGGGAUGUCCGAAUCUGUAAACAGGGCCGCGCAAAACGCGGUCGAUCCCGAGCGCAAGCGAGGGAUAGCGAACCUGGGGAAGUAAAACCUUUCAGUACCCAGAGGAAAAUGAAACAAUUUCUUGUGUUUUACACAAGAAUAUUCCCUUAGUAGCGGCGAGUGAAAAGGGAAAUGGCCUAAACUGAGCACAUAAUUUAUUAUGUACUUGGGGUUACAAGAAAGCAGCGUUCAAAAUUUUCUUCCCUUACCCUGAACAAAUUUAUUUGCGAAUGGGCGGAGAGGGGAAAGUUUUGAGGGAGUAAAAAAAUUGGGUGUUAGCCAAAGUCUCCUGGAAAGGAAUACCAAAGAGGGUAAUAGUCCCGUAGGCGAAAACAUACCAGUCUCCUAGCUUCUUGCCGCCGAUGAGGCGGGUGUGCCGCAAGGCACAUUUCUUAAGUACCCUGCUAAACUAAAAUUGCGGGGGAAAUCGGCAGGACUACAUUCUGCCAAGGCGAAAUACUUGACCUUACCGAUAGUGAACUAGUACCGUGAGGGAAAGGUGAAAAGCAGCCCGUUGAGGGCGAUGAAAUAGAACCUGAAACCAUCAAACCUACAAAGAGUCGGAGCCCCGAUCGCAAGAUCGUGGGUGACGGCGUACUUUUUGGAGAACGAGCCAACGAGUUGCCUUUACUACUUUGUCUAACCGCGUCAGACGCGGGAAGGCGUAGCGAAAGCGAGCGUUAACAGCGCGCAAAAAAAGUGGAGAAGGCAGACCCGAAGCCAAGCGAGCUUACCAUUGUCAGGGUGAACCCAAGCGAAAGCGAGGGGGAGGCCCGUACCUGUGAGCCGUGCAAUACUCUAGGACGAACAGUGGUACGAAGAGAAAACCUAAACGAGCUUGGUAAUAGCUGGUUCUUCCCGAAAUAGUUUUUGGACUAGCCUCGCCAUAAAUAUUUUUCAGGGGUAGAGCACUGAAAAGAAUAUCUUGGCUUUUUGCCAGGUACUCUUAUCAAACUCCGAAUACUGAAAAAUUAGGCGGGAGUAAGAACCUGGGCGCUAAGGUCCAGGCUCAAAAGGGAAACAGCCCAGAUCUUCAUCUAAGGUCCCCAAGUUUGAGCUAAGUGCUUGCAAGGAAGUGAAUUCCCCCUGAUAGUCAGGAGGUGAGCUUAGAAGCAGCUAUCCUUUAAAAAGUGCGUAACAGCUUACUGACUAAGGGUUUUUGCACCAAAGAUUAACGGGGCUAAAGCUCAACACCGAAGAUAAGAACCGCUGUGUUUCACUAUUGUUCGACACUGACAGUGUAGUGGCGGGCAGCAGCGAAACACAACGGUGGUAGGGAAGCGUCCUUUGCUCAGCGAAGGUGAAUCGUAAGAUUUGCUGGAGAGCAAGGGAGUGAGAAUGUUGGCAUGAGUAACCGCAAUCCGGGUGAAAUCCACGGACACCGAAAGCCUAAGAUUUCCUUGGCAAUGAUUUUCAGCCAAGGGUUAGGCGGACCUAAUCGCAAGACCAAAUGGCCUUGGGAGAUGGACAGCCGGUUAAUAUUCCGGCCCUCUUGUUGUUUUUCGAAGGGUGACGCAGUCGAAAUUCUUGGAAGGAUUAUCGGAUUUCCGAGAGUUGGGAAUUUAUUCCCGACCGAUCCAAGGACAAGAUUGCCAAGAAAAACCCCUGAGAGUUAAAGCAACUUGAUCCGUAUCGCAAACCGACACAGGUAGGCAGGUCGAGUAGACCAAGGUGAACGGGUGAAAGUUCCUGAAGGAACUCGGCAAAAAAGCUACUCGUAAGUUAUCGAGAUGAGUUUCCCCAGCCCGCAAGGGUUUGGGGGCGCAGCGAAAGUUCUCUUAGCGACUGUUUAUCAAAAACACAGGCUCCUGCUAAAACUCGUAAGAGGAAGUAUAGGAGCCGAGGCCUGACCAGUGCUGGAACGUUAAAGGUCAAGGUCGAUUGCCAAUUUAUUGGUGAUUGGCUUAUGGCCCUAAGCGCCAGUGAACGUCCGCGGUAACUCUGACCGUGUUAAAGUAGCGUAACCCCUUGUCGGGUAAGUUCCGACCCGCAUGAAAGGUUUCACGACUAAGAGACUGUCUCCAGGAAUCGCCCGGUGAAAAUGCAAUGGGGGUGAAGAUGCCCCCUACCUGCGGCUAGACGGAAAGACCCCGAGAGCUUUACUGUAAGGUGGUAUUGAGUUUUGGGUUUGGAUGCGUAGCGUAGCGAGGAGGAUUUGAAGUCCCGUUUUCGGACGGGAUGGAUCCGACAAUGAAACACUCGUCUUUUAAACUCUUAAUUCUAACCCCGCUGUUGAAGCGAGAAACAGUGCCACCCUGGCAGUUUAAGUGGGGCACUUGCCUCAUAAAAAGUACUUGAGGCGUUUAAAGGUCGGCUAGCUCCGGAUGGAAAUCGGAGCGAUAGGGCAAAGCCAUAAGCCGGCUUUACUGCAAGGCGUGCAUGCCGCGCAGUUGGGAAACCAGAACUUAGUGAACCGAUGCGUCAUAGUAGAAAGCGCAAAGAUUACCGGAUAAAAGUUACCUCGGGGAUAACAGGCUGGUAGGGCCCGCGAGUCCACAUCUACGGCCCUGUUCGGCACCUUAACAAAUCGGGGUGCUAUGCCAGUAAUGGCAUACCUGGAAUAUUUACCCACUAAAUAUUCCGAAAAAAUGGCUUAUUUCGAGCGAAGCAAGAAACAAGCUUUGCUUACUUCCGAAAGGAAGAGCCAAAUCUUGGCUUAUAACGGUGGACUCCAUAUGGUAAAAUAACUAUAUGGACAAUACCGUGGGAAGUCUUGCACAGGAACAAAAAUCUUUGAUAAUCGGCGCCAUUUUAGGCGAUGGUUAUUUGAGAAUUGUUCCAGGGAGAAAAAAUGCAUUUUUAGAAACAAAUCAUUCUAUCAACCAAAAGGAUUACGUUGACUGGAAAUACAAUAUUCUGCGAUCAAUUGUAAAAAAUGGGCCGAAAGAAAGGAUGGGUAACGGCCAAAGGAUAGCUUAUAGGUUUUAUACCCAAUGCCUUCCAGAGAUAACAGAAUUAUUUUACCGUUUUUACACAAACGGUAAAAAGAAAGUUCCAGACAACCUAGCAAUAGAUAAGUUAAGUUUAGCAGUUUGGUUUAUGGAUGAUGGCUCUAAAAGCAGAAGCUCUGUGUAUCUAAACACACAGCAAUUUUCUCUCGAAGACCAGAUAAAGUUACAGAACAUAUUGCUUAAGCAGCACAAUAUUCAUUCUCGUCUUAAUAAAGACAAAAAGUAUUUCAGAAUUAGAGUAAUCAGUAGUGACGCAAAAAGAUUCUGUAAUCUGGUGAAACAGUUUAUUCCAAAAUCAAUGGAAUAUAAGCUGGUGCAAUGACCCCGUAGAGACUUGACCAAUUGUGGUCAGAGUUUUCUGAAAAAAUCAGAAAGCUAACACGCCAACUCCUAUUUACACAAUAGGAUGAAGAUAUAGUCCGAUCCUUCCGGUAACGGAAGACAAAUACGACAGCGAUGUCGGCUCAUCACAUCCUGGGGGUGAAGCAGCUCCCAAGGGUUGGACUGUUCGUCCAUUAAAGUGGUACGUGAGCUGGGUAAGUAAAAAUGAGCCCAGCUGUCCUUGAUAUCGAGAAUCCGAAAUUUCGGAUUAAAUAAAAGGACGAAAAACUGACUCAUAACGGUGGAGUCCGAAUGCUUAAGUUUAGUAUUAAAAAUGCUAUAAUUUAGGUAAUGGAUAAUAUCGUGGGAAGGCUAAAAUCAUUAUUUCCGCAUGAUCAAUUUCAGUUGAUCCUCGGUUCAUUGAUGGGCGAUGCUCGUUUAGAGUGUCGUUCAAAAAGCAUAAGAGCAAAACACACCGCUCGUUUAAGAAUUCAUCAAUCUGAUAAACAAAGAAAUUAUGUAUUUUGGAAAUACGAGAAAUUAAAAAACCUUGUUUCUAAGAAGCCAAGAUUCACAAAAGCUUGGCAUGAUAAAAAGAGAAACAAAGAUCAUUUUUCUUGGUAUUUCCACACCAAAACCAACGAAGAUUUGGGGUUAAUGCAUAAAUUGUUUUAUCGGAAUAAGACAAAAAUUAUAUCAAAGGAUUUAUUAGAAUUAUUAAAUCCAUUUGGAUUAGCAGUUUGGUAUAUGGACGAUGGUUCUAAUAACGGUGGUAAUAUAACUCUUAAUACUCAUUGUUUUUCUAAGAAGGAACAAAGGGUAAUGCAAAGCUUGCUUAAAAAUAAGUUCGGAAUAAACACAACGAUCGUAAAAGAUAGAAACAAGUUUAAGCUAGCAAUAGGUUCUUAUGAAUAUCAGAAGUUUAUAGAUAUCGUAAAACCCUAUAUUAUAGCAUCAAUGAACUAUAAGAUUUUAGUCCCCGUAACGACUUGAUCUCAAAUUGGGAUCGGAUAAUAGCUUUUUAGCUGUUAUAACACGUCAGUUCCGACUUAUCGGAAGUCGGAAAAGGUAUAGUCUAUACUGCUAGUAAUAGCAGAGAGAUUCACAAUUUGUGAAUAUAUGUCAAACCGUCGUAAGACAGGUUGGUCCCUAUCUACCGCAAGCGUUGAGUUUUGAGGGGAGUCUUCAACAGUACGAGAGGACCUUGAAGAACUGACCUCUGGUGUGCCAGCUGUUCUGCCAAGAGCAUUGCUGGGUAGCUAUGUCGGGCACGGAUAAGUGCUGAAAGCAUCUAAGCACGAAGCCAACCCCAAGAUAAGAACUCAUCAAGAUUUCCUGUAGACCACAGGAUUGAUAGGCUGCAGGUGUAAGCGCCGUAAGGUGUUUAGCCGAGCAGUACUAAUAAAUCGAAAUCUCAAUAU